AUAAGCGGAGGAAAAGAAACUAACAAGGAUUCCCCUAGUAGCGGCGAGCGAAGCGGGAAGAGCUCAAAUUUAUAAUCUGGCACCUUCGGUGUCCGAGUUGUAAUCUCUAGAAGUGUUUUCCGCGUUGGACCGCACACAAGUCUGUUGGAAUACAGCGGCAUAGUGGUGAAACCCCCGUAUAUGGUGCGGACGCCCAGCGCUUUGUGAUACACUUUCAAUGAGUCGAGUUGUUUGGGAAUGCAGCUCAAAUUGGGUGGUAAAUUCCAUCUAAAGCUAAAUAUUGGCGAGAGACCGAUAGCGAACAAGUACCGUGAGGGAAAGAUGAAAAGCACUUUGGAAAGAGAGUUAACAGUACGUGAAAUUGUUGGAAGGGAAACGCUUGAAGUCAGACUUGCUUGCCGGAGCUUGCUUCGGUUUGCAGGCCAGCAUCAGUUUUCCGGGGUGGAUAAUGACGGUUUGAAGGUAGCAGUCUCGGCUGUGUUAUAGCUUUCCGUUGGAUACAUCCUGGGGGACUGAGGAACGCAGCGUGCUUUUUGCGAAAGACUCGUCUUUUCACGCUAGGAUG
This 565-nucleotide ribosomal RNA is filed under the name Rhodotorula glutinis. RNAcentral's name for it is "eukaryotic LSU rRNA". It matches the Rfam family "Eukaryotic large subunit ribosomal RNA", at positions 46 to 615 of the family's 3401-position model. Lineage: Eukaryota; Fungi; Basidiomycota; Microbotryomycetes; Sporidiobolales; Sporidiobolaceae. The record is from RNAcentral.